UACGUAGGGAGCAAGCGUUGUUCGGAUUUACUGGGCGUACAGGGAGCGUAGGCGGUUGGAUAAGCCCUCCGUGAAAUCUCCAGGCUUAACCUGGAAAGUGCAGAGGGGACUGUUCAGCUAGAGGAUGGGAGAGGAGCGCGGAAUUCCCGGUGUAGCGGUGAAAUGCGUAGAGAUCGGGAGGAAGGCCGGUGGCGAAGGCGGCGCUCUGGAACAUUUCUGACGCUGAGGCUCGAAAGCGUGGGGAGCAAACAGG
This 253-nucleotide ribosomal RNA is filed under the name uncultured bacterium. RNAcentral's name for it is "partial 16S ribosomal RNA". It matches the Rfam family "Bacterial small subunit ribosomal RNA", at positions 524 to 776 of the family's 1533-position model. The record is from RNAcentral.